RNAcentral lists this ribosomal RNA (450 nucleotides) under uncultured Glomeromycotina. RNAcentral describes it as "SSU rRNA". It matches the Rfam family "Eukaryotic small subunit ribosomal RNA", at positions 569 to 1024 of the family's 1831-position model. Lineage: Eukaryota; Fungi; Glomeromycota. The record is from RNAcentral.
CGCAGCCGCGGUAAUUCCAGCUCCAAUAGCGUAUAUUAAAGUUGUUGCAGUUAAAAAGCUCGUAGUUGAAUUUCGGGAUCGACGGGUCGGUCGCGCCUCUGGUGUGUACUGGCCCUGUCGGUUUCUCCCUUCUGACGAACCACGAUGUCAUUAAUUUGGUGUCGUGGGAAAUCAGGACUGUUACUUUGAAAAAUUAGAGUGUUUAAAGCAGGCAUUCGCUUGAAUACAUUAGCAUGGAAUAAUGAAAUAGGACGUUUGAUCUUAUUUUGUUGGUUUCUAAGAUCGACGUAAUGAUUAAUAGGGAUAGUUGGGGGCAUUAGUAUUCAAUUGUCAGAGGUGAAAUUCUUGGAUUUAUUGAAGACUAACUACUGCGAAAGCAUUUGCCAAGGAUGUUUUCAUUAAUCAAGAACGAAAGUUAGGGGAUCGAAGACGAUCAGAUACCGUCGUAGU